Dicentrarchus labrax (European seabass) is the source of this 329-nucleotide long non-coding RNA. RefSeq lists it as uncharacterized. The record is from RefSeq and is a predicted model, not a curated record. NCBI's taxonomy places the organism in Eukaryota, Metazoa, Chordata, Actinopteri, Moronidae. The transcript has 3 exons.
AGCCCCCAGUCUACUGCCUCUUCUACUGUCAGAGCUUUCUGUUGGAGAAACUACAAAGGACAAGAGUGGUGUCUGAGUUAACCACAGAGUAUCACCAUCAUUUUCAUCAUCAUCAUCUUUCCAUCCACCCCUCCUGCACCUGCCACCCCGACUGCUGGUGAAUCAGGAGGCACUCAGUGCAGCUGACGCCCUCUCACACCUGAUACUGCGCCCAAACACCCUACAACCCCCCCACAACACACACACUCCAACCUGGCAAGGGACCAAUUACACCAACCGGAGGGAAUUAUCCAGAGUCCCGCUCUUGUCUGGAGUGAUAUCUCCAAGGA